Molecule: ribosomal RNA, 275 nt
Filed under: uncultured bacterium
Lineage: Bacteria
Description: partial 16S ribosomal RNA
Rfam family: Bacterial small subunit ribosomal RNA
Source: RNAcentral
CCUACGGGUGGCUGCAGUAGGGAAUCUUCCACAAUGGACGAAAGUCUGAUGGAGCAACGCCGCGUGCAGGAGGAAGGCCUUCGGGUUGUAAACUGCUUUUAACGGGGACGAUUUUGACGGUACCCGUAGAAUAAGGAUCGGCUAACUCCGUGCCAGCAGCCGCGGUCAUACGGAGGAUCCAAGCGUUAUCCGGAAUUACUGGGCGUAAAGAGUUGCGUAGGUGGCAAACCAAGUCUUUGUUUAAAGGCCAAGGCUCAACCUUGGAACAGGCAGGG